AACGAACGCUGACGGCGUGCUUUAGACGUGCAAGUCGUGCGAGAAAGUCGCCUUCGGGUGGCGAGUACAGCGGCGCACGGGUGAGUAACGCGUGGAUAAUCUACCCAAGGGUCUGGAAUAACAUCGGGAAACUGGUGCUAAUGCCGGAUAAGACCACGAUGGCUUCGGUCGAUGUGGAAAAAGGUGGCCUCUUCUUGAAAGCUACCGCCCAUGGAUGAGUCCGCGUCCCAUUAGCUUGUUGGUGAGGUAACGGCUCACCAAGGCUCCGAUGGGUAGCUGGUCUGAGAGGAUGAUCAGCCACACUGGAACUGAGACACGGUCCAG
Molecule: ribosomal RNA, 324 nt
Filed under: uncultured bacterium
Lineage: Bacteria
Description: bacterial SSU rRNA
Rfam family: Bacterial small subunit ribosomal RNA
Source: RNAcentral